Molecule: long non-coding RNA, 801 nt
Organism: Gossypium raimondii (Peruvian cotton)
Lineage: Eukaryota; Viridiplantae; Streptophyta; Magnoliopsida; Malvales; Malvaceae
Exons: 2
Source: RefSeq, a predicted model, not a curated record
UUUUGGUGAAUAAAAAAAGUUUUGAAUGUAAGUUGGUACGUAUGCGAAAACCCUCAUGGUUUAACUUGAUUGGUUUAAUGAAAUCUUUGUUACACUUCGGCAUGACUAAUCAAAAUCAAGUUUUUAAACCUGUAAUCUAUUUUGGUAUAUUUUGUUGGAAAAUCAAGCAUCAUCUAUUGUGUGCAAAUACUUUCUAUUGUUUUGAUACUUGGUUUUUGAAUAAGGUAACGAAAUUUACCAAAUUUGUUUUCAAUUUAUAUUCGUGCCUUAAACAGUUUCUGUGGUUAUACAUGAAGUUUGAGUUGCAUUUGACAAAGGUUAACUCAACAACGGAGUUUCGACUACACUAUGCCCCCGAUGAGCGAAGAUUCGAGGACGAAUCUUUUUGAGGAAGGGGGAAUGAUACGAGUCACAGAGGCCCAACCCAAAUUCUUGAAGGCAAGGCCCAAUAAGAAGAUUCCAAGCCCAAUCAAGAAAUCCACCCAUACUUAGUUGAAAAUCAGGCCAAAUUGUCAAAGUGGCUCAAGUUGUAAAGUUAUAUUUUUAUUUUUAUUUAUUUAUUUAUUUUUACUUAGUUUAAUUUUUAUGUAAAUAUUCAGUCCCAGAGUCCCAAAUAAAGACCCUUGGCUGAAUUUCCAUAUUAAAAUAAUUAGGAGUUUUUUUUUAUUUUAGUUUUCUAAUUAGAUUAGGACUAGUUAUAAGGCCUAUUUAUAUGGAUUGGCCAGCCACCCUACAUUACAUUACAAUUACAUUGAAAAUUUCAGAUUUAAUUUGAGUGAAAAUUCUCUUUGAGUUCUCCAA